UGGCAGUAACGGGUAACGGGGAAUUAGGGUUCGGUUCCGGAGAGGGAGCCUGAGAAACGGCUACCACAUCUAAGGAAGGCAGCAGGCGCGUAAAUUACCCAAUGCGGACUCCGCGAGGUAGUGACAAUACAUAACAACCCGGGACCCUCACGGGUUUACGGGAUUGCAAUGAGCACAAACUAAAAGCCUUAGCGAGGAACAAGUGGAGGGCAAGUCUGGUGCCAGCAGCCGCGGUAAUUCCAGCUCCACUAGCGUAUAUUAAAGUUGUUGCAGUUAAAAAGCUCGUAGUUGAACUUCUGGCCGCGCCCCGGCUCGGAACUUGCUUCCGGCCGGCCCUUUCCCGGCGCGGCCAUCCGUCUGCGAACUGUUGCGGCCUUCACUGGCUUGCUUCAGGGAGCAGACACUUUACUUUGAAAAAAUUAGAGUGUUUAAGGCAGGCUCCGCGUCUGAAUACAUUAGCAUGGAAUAAUGGAAUAGGACGCUUGUCCGUUUGAUUGGUUUGCGGACUGGCGUAAUGAUUAAUAGGGACAGUUGGGGGCAUUAGUAUUUAAUUGUCAGAGGUGAAAUUCUUGGAUUUAUUAAAGACUAACUUAGGCGAAAG
This 601-nucleotide ribosomal RNA is filed under the name uncultured ciliate. RNAcentral describes it as "bacterial SSU rRNA". It matches the Rfam family "Eukaryotic small subunit ribosomal RNA", at positions 347 to 951 of the family's 1831-position model. Lineage: Eukaryota; Ciliophora. The record is from RNAcentral.